Microcebus murinus (gray mouse lemur) is the source of this 1120-nucleotide non-coding RNA. The record is from RefSeq and is a predicted model, not a curated record. Lineage: Eukaryota; Metazoa; Chordata; Mammalia; Primates; Cheirogaleidae.
GAAAUAAGCAUCUCACUCAAUCGGAAAGGCAGCCCGGGCCCCGGGUUGAGGGUUCCUAGCCACGGCCACGUCCACGGAGCUUAGGGGGACCCCCUCGCCCCAGCCCCAGCCCCAGCUGCACACAGGCAGGGGCUCCCACCAGCCACAGGCUGCAGUCCUGGCCGAGGAGCCCCAGGCUGUGGGCAUCAGUCCCAGGUAGCAGAGCCACAGGGCUCCAGCCACAGCUGGGAAUUUCCCGAGGGUCAUCCGCGGCCACAGUCAAAGGUGUUCCAGCUACAGGACACAGCCCCGAGAACUGCAUGCUGGAAUCUCGGGUCUGAGGCUGAGCCUCCCCGGCUGCAGACCCCAAGCGUAGACUCAGAUCCUCCAAGCCUGGCUGCAGCUACAGGUUGAGGAGUCACCUUCCCUUUCGUCUCCAGCCCACGGCCUGCAAUCGUGGCCAGGAUCGUCUGCCAUGGAUUCCUGCCACAAGGAAGGCCCUUCAGGCUUGGGCUGGAAUCUCAGAACUCAGAGACGUCCCGGUCACGGGUUACACCACGGACAGGCCGUGCCCACCCUACCUGCUCUGGCUGGGAACUAGCUGGUAUCUAAUUUGAGUGGAUGCAAGAAAGCUCAGUCAUCGAGAUCGAUGCUGUUUCAGUGCAAGAUUUUUUCAAAACUUGGAAGUCAUUCGGGGAGAGCCACCGUGAGGAAAUGACCUGAAUUUUAAAGAACGGCGGCAUCGGGCGCUGCGCCUGUGCUGUCCACUCAUCUCGCCCAGCCGGCUCCCUGCCACCUCCUGCCAGCGGAGCCUGGGACACCGGAGCGGUCAGUGGCCACCAAGACCUUCCGUCCCCAGCAGGCAACGCUCCAAGGCUUGCAACUUCCGACCUCACCUCCCACCCACCCAGGCACUGCCGGACACUGCAGAGACACGGAUGCAGAUGCGGACGAUGACGCAAAACCAGCUACCAGAUCACCAACAAAUCGCCCACCCAGAACUACCCAGAACGACAACAUGUGUGCGAGCCCUAAACCCGCGGUGGUUCCAACAGGGGGCAUUGUUAUUCCACUAAGGCUCUCGGAAGAAAAAGAGACUCACCCCGAAUCACACAGCCAAUAAAUGGCGGACUCAAAUUCA